Non-coding RNA from Schistosoma margrebowiei, 46 nucleotides. Lineage: Eukaryota; Metazoa; Platyhelminthes; Trematoda; Strigeidida; Schistosomatidae. The record is from Rfam.
AUACUUCUGAGGAGUCCCACAACAGGACGACACGGCCGUCCAGUGC